This 77-nucleotide transfer RNA is filed under the name Candidatus Altimarinota bacterium. Its description in RNAcentral is "tRNA-Met". It matches the Rfam family "tRNA". Rfam says of the family: Transfer RNA (tRNA) molecules are approximately 80 nucleotides in length. The record is from RNAcentral. Lineage: Bacteria; Candidatus Altimarinota.
GUCAGUAUAGCUCAGCUGGUUAGAGCGCAGGAUUCAUAUCCCUGAGGUCGGCGGUUCAAAUCCACCUACUGACACCA